AAUAGAUACCCCGGGUAGUCCACGCCGUAAACGAUGGGGUGCUAAGUGUUAGGAGGGUUUCCGCCCUUUAGUGCUGCAGCUAACGCAUUAAGCACUCCGCCGUGGGGAGUACGGCCGCAAGGACUGAAACUCAAAGGAAUUGACGGGGGCCCGCACAAGCGGUGGAGCAUGUGGUUUAAUUCGAAGCAACGCGAAAGAACCUUACCAGGUUCUUGACAUCCUACUGACAAUCCUAGGAGAUAGGGGCUUUCCCCUUCGGGGGUACAGAGUGACAGGUGGUGCAUGGUUGUCGUCAGCUCGUGUCGUGAGAUGUUGGGUUAAGUCCCGCAACGAGCGCAACCCUUGAUCUUAAGUUGCCGAGCAUUCAGUUGGGCACUCUAAGGUGACUGCCGGUGACAAACCGGAGGAAGGUGGGGAUGACGUCAAAUCAUCAUGCCCCUUAUGACCUGGGCUACACACGUGCUACAUGGAUGGUACAAGGGCUGCAAACCUGCGAAGUAGCGAAUCCCAUAAGCCGAUUCUCAGUUCGGAUUGCAGG
RNAcentral lists this ribosomal RNA (538 nucleotides) under uncultured bacterium. RNAcentral's name for it is "bacterial SSU rRNA". It matches the Rfam family "Bacterial small subunit ribosomal RNA", at positions 777 to 1304 of the family's 1533-position model. The record is from RNAcentral.